AGCGAACGCUGGCGGCAGGCCUAACACAUGCAAGUCGAACGAACUCUUCGGAGUUAGUGGCGGACGGGUGAGUAACACGUGGGAACGUGCCUUUAGGUUCGGAAUAACUCAGGGAAACUUGUGCUAAUACCGACUGUGCCCUUCUGGGGUGAGCCUUAUCGCUUUUAGAGCGGCCCGCGUCUGAUUAGGUAGUUGGUGAGGUAAAGGCUCACCAAGGCGACGCUCAGUAGCUGGUCUGUGAGGAUGAUCAGCCACAUUGGGACUGAGCCACGGCCCAACCGCCUACGGGAGGCAGCAGUGAGGAAUCUUGCGCAAUGGGCGAAAGCCUGACGCAGCCAUGCCGCGUGAAUGAUGAAGGUCUUAGGAUUGUAAAAUUCUUUCACCGGGGACGAUAAUGACGGUACCCGGAGAAGAAGCCCCGGCUAACUUCGUUCCAGCCGCCGCAGUAA
This 449-nucleotide ribosomal RNA is filed under the name uncultured bacterium. RNAcentral describes it as "partial 16S ribosomal RNA". It matches the Rfam family "Bacterial small subunit ribosomal RNA", at positions 29 to 523 of the family's 1533-position model. The record is from RNAcentral.